ACGAGUGUGAAAUAAAUCCCAUAUCAAAAAAUCACGAGUCGUGUGACCUGUUUCUACCACAAUAAUAUCGGCUUGAAUCAAAGGGAAAUAAUAUUUCACGCAUGCAAAUAAUGUGUACAGGUGAAGGCCUGGACCCGGUGAUGUGUCGUCAUUCGCUUAUUGAUGACGUCAAUAACAAUUACAGCUCGGGUAAAAGUUCUAAUUCUUAACCAAUCAAAAGACUGGUGGGAGGUCAUAUUCCACUUGUGGUAAAUAAUAUAUAUAUCCAACAGUCGGCACAUAUAUACAAUGACUUGAGAGUGGAAUAACACAGCGUAUUGUGGUAGAAACUGUACCUAAAUGUACCUACAGCGUUAGGGUGUGGACUAUUUAUAGAGAAAAUAUAUAUGCUUACUCCAUUAGUCAGAUGUGCAAUACUACUGCUGUUUUACUAAUCAUAGUGUAGUUUGUAUUCGAUAGUAUUGUAUAUUAAAGUUAAUCACGGACAAGUCCAAGUCGGCGGCCCAAAUCGAGUUUUUAUGCUCGACUUAACCAACUUUCCAUGUACCGAUCUAUGCAAUGCCAUAAAUGAUCCGAAUUAAUCGGUUGCCUACCAUACACAUAUCAUAUAAGCCGGGAUCAAAACAUUUUUUAAAUAAAUUUUAUGCAUUGGACAAAGAGAAUACAAACGUCGUGUAAUUGACACUGGUCGUGCCACAAACACGUGAACAUACACUUACAUAAUGUACAUAUUUGAUGACUUUCUUUGUAUGAAUGCAUUCUGCAUGCAUAUACAUUUUGUAUAAAGCAUGUAUUUGGAAUUAUAAUAUAUAAUUUUCCAUAUAAUUCAAUCCUAGAGCGUUAUACCUUUGAUUGGUCAUAUAAGAAUGGUAAUUUCCUGUACUAUGAAUGAUUUAUUAGAUUAUCAGACAUUUAUACCGAAAUUUUAUAUACAAAAAAUUAUCAAAUCAUGUACGACGUUGUCCAUUUGUCACAACAUUUAACAUUGAUGACAUGUGAUUGAAGGCGACUAUCAUAUAUAAACCGGAUGUGGAUGUAUAUUUCAUUUACGAUUUCAUUUCAUUGACAUUGAUAGAGGUUUAUCUCACCUGGGAGUUCUUAUCAGUCAGAUAUACAUUCCGCUAUAUAACGAUCAAAAUCAAACAGAACAAAUAAAUCAAUAUAUUUAAAUGUGAAGAGAAAUUCUAAAACUAGAUAAAAAUACAAUUUUAAAAACAGGCCUUUCACAAAAAUGCAUGUAUUGACUUAAAUGUCAGAGUCCCAUAAAUGUUUCAUUUACGAAUCAAUAACUAAUACAAGCAAAUACAUCUACGCUGUGAAUUUUUGCUAAUUUAAAAAAAAAGUGUCAAUAUAUAUUUUUUCUCUUAUUCCUAAAUAAUCAAUAAAAAUAGCAAUGGCAUUUUCUGUGACCAGAACGUUUCAUCAUUAUAUGAACUAUUGAUGUAUCUGUAGGUUGGAUUCAAUAUUUGCAAUAACGUAGGUUUUAUAUUUUAACCUAACUUAAGAGAUACUUUCAUUGUUUUAAUCUACAAAGGCAAUUGGUCAUUAUUAAGGACAAGAAGAUAUCAAGUGGUGAAAUCAGUUGUGGUCUGUCAGAUGUAUCGCGUCUGAUAUCUGUUGCCAAAUACCUAUUGACAAGCAAAAUGUUCUACACAAACAAGGUGUCGAUGUAAGGGAUGGACGACCAAAGUUCGAAAUAUCCAGUGUUCGAAUCAACAAAUUUCGAAACGUAUCUGUUUAACUAAUAAGAUAAAGAAAUGGGAAAUCGGGACAAAAACAUUCGACUCAUUUGAUGUAUUCGAUUCAACCGUGUUCGACACAUGCAAAUUUUAUUGUAGAUACGUCAAUAAUGAAACACGAGUGAUCAUAUGAUUUGGAGUUAACGAGCGUAUUGUUUUCACACGAAACAAUAGUCCAGCGAGGGGUACAAAUGCUACAAAUCGACCUAUCUAAAGAAGCCAGUGUUACUGUACAUAUUACACUUUGAUUUGGUUUGUUUUUGUUUAACGUCCUAUUAACAGCCAGGGUCAUUUAAGGACGUGUCAGGUUUUGGAGGUGGAGGAAAGCCGGAGUACCCGAAGAAACCACCAGCCUACGGUCAGGUACCUGGCAACUGCCCCACGUAGGUUUCGAACUCGCAACCCAGAGGUGGAGGGCUAGUGAUAAAGUGUCGGGACUCCUUAACCACUCGGCCACCGCGGCUCCCACACAUAUUACACAACAUUAUGUACAUUACAUUUGACAAGAAGUCAUGCUUACAAAUAAAUGAUGAUUAAAGGAAGAGGAAUUUAUACCACUGUGACGACUGCGAAAAUAACCCGACGGAAUUGUCUUAAGUCACUUUAAUAUAAUGACGAUAGCACAUUUGUCUUUUAAUCAAAAUUACUGAAGGUUGACUUUAACCUAUAUCACUAUUUGUUUUGGUUUUGUUUCAGUCUCGUCAUAAAAUGUAUUAAAGACAUGUUUUUAAAAAAAAAACAUCCUUUAAGUCCCCUGCUUCUGAAUCAAAUACGUUCAUGAUCUGAAUUGACGCUGUCUUGCAGAUGGAAGCAUUUUCCUUUCUGAAAAAAAAACAACAACUUACAUUUGUCCCGGCUGUUCAUGAAGCACCUCCACAAUUAUUUUUAUGUUGUUAAUGAGAAAUUAAGAAAUUGAUUGUUGUUGUUUCAAAUAUAUGAAAAUCCAAUUUGUUAUAUAUCACAUAGAUUAGAUAUUCAUUUUAGUGUGAUGAAUUCAUUUUUUCCUGUGAUAAUCUUGUAAUUCUAAAAAAAUAAAAUAUGCAAAGUG
Pecten maximus is the source of this 2787-nucleotide long non-coding RNA. RefSeq lists it as uncharacterized. The record is from RefSeq and is a predicted model, not a curated record. The transcript is spliced from 2 exons. NCBI's taxonomy places the organism in Eukaryota, Metazoa, Mollusca, Bivalvia, Pectinida, Pectinidae.